This 253-nucleotide ribosomal RNA is filed under the name uncultured bacterium. RNAcentral describes it as "partial 16S ribosomal RNA". It matches the Rfam family "Bacterial small subunit ribosomal RNA", at positions 524 to 776 of the family's 1533-position model. The record is from RNAcentral.
UACGUAGGGGGCUAGCGUUGUCCGGAUUUAUUGGGCGUAAAGAGCGUGUAGGCGGCCAGGUAGGUCUGCUGUGAAAACUCGAGGCUCAACCUCGAGACGUCGGCGGAAACCAUCUGGUUAGAGUCCGGAAGAGGAGAGUGGAAUUCCUGGUGUAGCGGUGAAAUGCGCAGAUAUCAGGAAGAACACCCGUGGCGAAGGCGGCUCUCUGGGACGGUACUGACGCUGAGACGCGAAAGCGUGGGGAGCGAACAGG